Molecule: unclassified non-coding RNA, 1547 nt
Filed under: Hevea brasiliensis (rubber tree)
Lineage: Eukaryota; Viridiplantae; Streptophyta; Magnoliopsida; Malpighiales; Euphorbiaceae
Source: RNAcentral
AGAAUCCAUAAAAUUAACCUCUAUCCUUUUCAUCUUUUAUUUGUUCCUGCCUUUCAAAUCACAAAUAGCUUUCUCCUCCUCAGGACAAAGAAAUCAAGAGGAAAAGAACCUACCAGAAAAUAAAAAUGGCUUGUUUUAGGCUAAGAAAGUCCAGAACCACCUCUACCAUGAAGGCUACCUCAUCAGACGCUACUCUUACAUCACACCAAGAAAAUCCAGAACCCAAGAAUCUCAAACAAGAAGUUCUUUUGCAAAUCCCAGCAUGCACAGUUCAUCUGAUGGAAGGAGGAGAAGCACUAGAACUCUCCACAGGCGAGUUCACUCUUUUUCGAAUCUUGGACGAUAAUGUUUCUCUUGCUACAAUUGUGAAAGUUGGUGAUAAUCUUCAAUGGCCUUUGACAAAAGAUGAACCGGUGGUUAAGAUUGAUGGUUUACACUAUCUAUUUUCUUUGCCAAUGAAAGAUGGUGAUCCUUUGAGCUAUGGUGUGACUUUCUGGGAGCAGUACAGUAGCAGUUUGGGUUUGCUGGAUUCGUUCCUUUCUGAACAUUCUUGCUUUUCCGGGUCUGCAACAUCAACUAGGAGUAGAAAUCUUGACUGGAAAGAGUUUGCUCCAAGUGUUGAAGAUUACAACAAUGUUUUGGCCAAGGCUAUUGCAGGAGGAACUGGUCAGCUUGUCAAGGGAAUUUUCAAAUGUAGUAAUGCAUACAGUAACCAGGUCCAUAAAGGAGGGGAAAUGAUUUUAACUCGAGCUGCAGAGGAGAAAAAUGGUGUUACAGCCAAAGAAAUUAGGAGCAGCAACAGAACUACUGGGGCCACAAAGAAUUCCAAAGUCAACAAAAGCUUAAAACGGUACCCCAAGAACAAAUAAUUUCAUUUCAAAAUACAAUAGGAACAUGUCUCUUUUCUCUUUUUUCUAGUCAAAAUGUAUGAUUGCUAGUUGCUACUACUAAUAAUAUAGUGUGAGAAAGCUGUCCAAGAUGACAGAAAAGCUGAGCAAAACUAUGCUUGAUGGUGUUGGCAUUGCUACUGGUUCGGUUAUGGCGCCUUUAGUAAAAUCCCAGGCAGGGAAGGCAUUCCUAUCCAUGGUACCAGGAGAAGUCAUCUUAGCUUCACUUGAUGCUGUCAACAAGAUUCUAGAUGCAGCUGAAGCUGCUGAAAAACAAGCUCUCUCUGCAACCUCAAAGGCUUCAACCAAAAUGGUCACUGAUAGGUUUGGCGAAAGUGCAGGCGAGGCUACUGAGGACGUGUUUGCUACUGCAGGGCACUGUGCUAGCACUGCUUGCAAUAUAUUCAAGAUAAGAAAGGCCAUCAAUCCAGCAUCAUCUGUCUCAUCAGGAAUGCUGAGGAAUGCAGCAAAAUAUAGAACUAGCAAGUCAUAAGCCUCAGAGUGAAUGUAUCAUGUGGAAGUUGAAAACAUGAACAAUGUUUCGUUUGAUCAUCUGAUAAUCUUAUUUACUUGUUUGAUCUGAAAUCCAUAAUCUUAUUUACAUCCCACAAUAUGAAUGGUCAAUAUUCUGACAACUAAGCAAGUUUAAAUUCACUAAUA